CCUUCGCUAUUGAAGUAUGUGAAAAGCCACUCUGCAUCUUUUUCCUAAGCUCCUUUUAAGUACUGUAAGGCUGCGAUGAGGUCUCGCUCCUCUCCCUCCCCACGGGUGCUUCCAAAUAGAGAGCGGUGCCUUCAGUGCGCCCAGAUUUGCUGAUUUUUGGCAUUGCUGAUGGAGGUCCUGUAGGGCGGUGCUGGGUGAGUGGGGCAACCUCAGCUUGGAUUGCAUGGGGAAAGCACAAAGCACUGCACGCCUUGUUUUGCUCCGCAAGAAGAGCUCAAGGAACUCCAAACAGGCUGCUAGGGAGCAGGAAGCCUCUUUUGAUGAAUAGCUGAGAGGAGUCAGGCCGUGUCAGGACUGAGAUACAGCGUGGCUCCCGGUGGGUUUGCAAAGCAGCAUUUGAUGGUGAAAUCCUGUCAGCGGUUGCUCAAACCACAGCUCCAAAGCAUUCUGCAAUCCCAGCCUUGCUGGAGCAGCAGUGGGUCAUUCCCUCCUGCAGUUCCCAGCUGAUGCACACCCCAAGAGGCUGGCAGGUAUUGGGAUAGGAUGCAUGGAGGCUGCUCAGGGAGGUUUUGCAUUCCAAAGGCCUUUUCCUGCCUGGGUUUUGCAGGCAGCAGGGGGAAGUUUGGGUGGAGGGACACAAACCUGUGGCUGGAGCACUGGGUUAUCAACAGGACCUGAGCCCCUGCAGCCAAAGUGCGUGAACCCAACAACACGAACUGCCCCAUCCAUGAUCCUUGCUGCCAUUUUGAGGCAGCUCACAUCUCUGUUUUCUACCCCUUUUCUGUAAAGACAUUGGAUGAGAGGAUCCCACUGUCUCUCAUGCACUCAGGCUUGAAGGCAAAGCAACAGCAUGAGGCCCUGCAGCGUGGCUCUCUGCAGAGCAAAACUACAGGGGGGCUUUUGCACCACUGGGAACAAUGCAGCUAUAAUAAAUUCUAUCAUGUUUAGGGGAAAAAAAGGGGCUGACUGUUUUGAUUUCCUAACGUAACAGAGUUUAUGCAAUCACACUGUAUAUCAGUGCAUUCCCAUUCUUCCAAAUUCCUCUCUUUAAAAACUCUUUAACCCUUUGGCCACUUUUAGCCCAAACCCAGCAGAGAGGUAUGGAGCUCAGAUCCUACAUUUGCAAUCAGUUGGGUAAAGAGUGACCCUGCCAGGGCUGCAGCUGUGAGAAACACCGACUCACGCUGCCAGCCCCUAUUAGACACCAGAGAAUCCGCACAGUGCUGACAUCUGAUUGAUGUCCAAACCGUGGGAAAAACUUCCCUGGGAGUUUGUGCCCUCCCAGGCACCCAGGUCGGUCCCCCAUGAGACACCAGCCUGCUGAAAACCAGGCUGCAAAUCCUGUAUCUCUCAGAGCUGUUUGUUUGCUUUUUAGUGCCAAGCUUCGGGGGGAGAGGGGAAGCAGCUUAGCAGAAGUCAUAGCCAGGAGGGCCAGUGCUGGCACUGAAAGCAGCACUGGGGCUGCAGCCCCAAAGCCUUUGGUACUGUGCAAGUCUCAUCUUGGAAGGAAUCACUGCAAAUUACUCUUUGCUGUGGGUAUUACAAGAUGUCAGGGUUUGGGGCACCAAUACUCCUUAAAGCCCUGAGCAGCCUCACCUGGGGGCCUCCAUCCACACCCUUUGCAGUCAGCCCAGGAGCCCUAUUUAAACUCAGCACAGAACUCUCUGCUGUUGUUGCAGCAGUGCUGAGGCUGGCUUGCUCCCAGCCCUGUCUGCCUAUGGGAUCCUGCUGAGCUUGACCCCAAUCUGGAAGCUGGCUUUGUGAUCUCAGCCCUACCUGGCCUCUCUGGAGCUGCUCAGCACCUGCUGGACCUGAUCCUGACUCCAGGGCUGGUUCAUUACUUGCCUUUUACUGGUUUGCCUCAUCGUUGCAAGCUUGCCUGGUGACCUUGAGGGCUCUUAGGUGAAUGUGGUGGUGAUUCCUGGAGCUGCCCUGUCCCACUCUGGAACUGGACCCUGGCUGGUGACAUCCCUUCUUGCCUCCUGCUUCUUCUGCCCUUGCUGCUCCUUUACACAGCCAAGACCAAAGGCAAUACCUGUGCGUAGCAAACUGCCUAGGAGCUGCUUUCCAUGCAGGGGAUUUAACCACACUACAGUCCUGUUCAUACAGUGAAAUUGUGAAGGAGACAGAAGCAGUGCAUAAGUCUUUUUACAGUUUACAGCUCAUUUAGCUGUGGAUUGUGCUGCCAGGUGCAGUAGUGGCAACAUUCCAUAUUACUUCUGUGGUUUUUCAUCUCAGCUUCUGAGGGAUGUGUGAACUUUCUCUCGAGCCCUCAUCACUGUUGGAGCAAUGGCUGAGCAGUCGUAAUGCAGUGUGUCAGGAAGAAGUCAGAAGAGGUAACAACAAAGGCAAAAUGGAGCUGGAUGGACUUCUCUUUUGGCUGAAAUCAAGGCAGGUGGUAUCUGCACAUCCAUGGCCUUUCCUUGACUACAAGAUGGGAAAAGCUCGGCCACAUCCAGGCUGCUCCCACCCAUCUGCUCUGAGAGUUCAGCAGUUUUACCAUCCAGGAGGAGCUGAGAGCUGCUCUGGAAGUCUUUUGUCUGUGGAUAUGAAGGUGGUUCUGUGUGCUCUCUGGAAGUCUGUAGAUGGACAGAACUGCUGGCACAGGAAACAACACCUUCUGAGAAUGAAAGCAAGCACAGUCUUUUCCAGCCCAAGACCUGGAAUAUAGAGACAUGCAGAAGCAUGGGUCCUUUCAGGAAUCAGAUGCCACUAAUGAUCAUUAGAAAGAUGGACUGGAAGAUCAAUGCUGACAGUUCCUGUGGCUGUGUGGGCAAUGAUAGGGUAACUGCAAGCAAAUGACAGCUAGCAUGCAUCCAUUGGUCUAGUUGUACAAACAACUGUGAUAUUUGUGUCUGAAAAUUUAUGAGCAAUUGGAUGCACAUACAGUUCUGCAGGACCAGGGGAGCAACAGUGCAACAGUGAGAGGCUGUUGUGUUUAGAGAGAUACCAAAUACUUCAUACUUAUAGUGCUAUUAUGGGCUACAACAAGAAUCUCAAAUAGGACAAAGGGCUUGCAAGGAGGCAUAACAAGAGAAAGCUUUAUGGAGAAUGUCUGAAUGCUGCCAAAAUGGUCACAGGUUGACAAUGCAGGAGAUCUGGCUCUAGGGUUCCUGGAUAUAAAAUGCUUGACCACACAACCUGAAGUGCUGAUCCCAUUGAAAAUCGUUCAAGAAAGUUCUGACAUUAGCUCUGUGUUGGUAGGCUUUAUGCCAGAUUAGAUAUUGUCUGUCUUCCCGCAGCCAGCAUAAACGCCACAUUAUGCAGUCUGGCUGAAACAUAAUUGUGUGCCCAGGCCUGAUCUGGAUUGAAUUUGUCAUGCUAAAUGAUCCAGUAGUGCUCAAACCUGUUACAAAUGACCACAGAAUCGUGGUCCAAACUUCCAUUCCAAAUUUCAUAUCUAACAUAAGGUAAGUUAGCCACAUGCAAAUGUCUAUGGGAACUGUUGGAAUGCUCUCCCUUAAUAUAACACCAAUAGAGAAUGCUCCCCCUCCCCCCAAAAAGCAGAGGAGAAAUUUGUACACGUAGGAAAAAAAUGCUUUUUAUUUCUUAAACUGACCCAGACUUACCUCAUCGUGGUUAUUUACACUGUUUGUUCAGGCCUUCUGCUAUAGGGGAAAAGAUUUAGGUCUUGUCCAUCUGAAAGCUCUGCAGCUAGAUAAGCUGCAAUAUGUUAAACGGGCUGGCCUG
Phasianus colchicus (ring-necked pheasant) is the source of this 3690-nucleotide non-coding RNA. The record is from RefSeq and is a predicted model, not a curated record. Lineage: Eukaryota; Metazoa; Chordata; Aves; Galliformes; Phasianidae.